AAUAGAUACCCAGGUAGUCCACGCCGUAAACGAUGAAUACUAGGUGUAGGGGUUGUCAUGACCUCUGUGCCGCCGCUAACGCAUUAAGUAUUCCGCCUGGGGAGUACGGUCGCAAGAUUAAAACUCAAAGGAAUUGACGGGGGCCCGCACAAGCAGCGGAGCAUGUGGUUUAAUUCGAAGCAACGCGAAGAACCUUACCUAGACUUGACAUCUCCUGCAUUACUCUUAAUCGGGGAAGUUCCUUCGGGGACAGGAAGACAGGUGGUGCAUGGUUGUCGUCAGCUCGUGUCGUGAGAUGUUGGGUUAAGUCCCGCAACGAGCGCAACCCUUAUUGUUAGUUGCUACCAUUUAGUUGAGCACUCUAGCGAGACUGCCCGGGUUAACCGGGAGGAAGGUGGGAUGACGUCAAAUCAUCAUGCCCCUUAUGUCUAGGGCUACACACGUGCUACAAUGGCAAGUACAAAGAGAAGCAAGACCGCGAGGUGGAGCAAAACUCAAAAACUUGUCUCAGUUCGGAUUGUAGGCUGAAACUCGCCUAC
Molecule: ribosomal RNA, 539 nt
Filed under: uncultured bacterium
Lineage: Bacteria
Description: bacterial SSU rRNA
Rfam family: Bacterial small subunit ribosomal RNA
Source: RNAcentral